CCCCCCAGCGUGGCCGUGUGCUGCCCUCUCGGCUGCAGCGGCUCCCCUGGAAAGCGGGGGGUGAGGCUGUAGCUGGGGGUGGUUCCAGCCCUCGCGCCUCUGAGGGGCACGGAGAGGAGCGUGCCGGGAGCUACCUCUUGCCCGAUGGUCACCUCACUGGACACAAACAUCCUGAGUGACCUGGUCAGCCCCAGGCGGGGUCACCACCAGGCAGAGGCCUGGGAUCCGGACUUUGCCCAGCUGAUAAGCGCAGGCCAGGGAUUGGGCUGCCUCUUGGACUCCCCGGCCCUACAGUGAAUAAGGGUCCAUGCGGUCGGGUGCGGCAGAGACUUGGAUGCGGAAUUGGGGCACACCUGGCCGGACCCACGCCCGCUCCGCCGCGCUCUCGGAGGUGGUGGGAGCAGGGGCACGUGACCUCCAGUAACCCCUGCGGACGUCGGCGCCGAGCGGGUUGAGGGCCGGCGUCCGCGAGUAACCCCGGCCCCAUCCGGCCCUGCGGGGCUCAA
Balaenoptera musculus (blue whale) is the source of this 506-nucleotide long non-coding RNA. RefSeq lists it as uncharacterized. The transcript has 3 exons. NCBI's taxonomy places the organism in Eukaryota, Metazoa, Chordata, Mammalia, Artiodactyla, Balaenopteridae. The record is from RefSeq and is a predicted model, not a curated record.